AUAAAUGUGCGGUUGGUUAAUGGAAACAGUCCCUGCAGUGGGACAGUGGAGGUUCUUCAUAGAGGUCAGUGGGGAACAGUGUGUGAUGUUGGCUGGGAUUUGGCUGAUGCUGCAGUGGUGUGUAGAGAGCUGGACUGUGGAGAACCUGUAGAUGCUGUGAGUGAUGCUCAGGUUGGGCUCGGAUCAGGACCAGUCUGGAUGAAUAAUGUAAUGUGUACUGGAUCUGAGUCCACACUGAAGAAGUGUGGAUCUGUCAUAUGGGGUUUUCAAAGUGUGUGUCAGAGCAAGAGUGCAGGAGUCAUCUGCUCAGGUGUCAGGCUGGUUGGAGGUUCUCGCUGCUCUGGGAGGUUAGAAAUACUUCAUGAUCAGACGUGGAUGUCAGUGUGUGACGCUGUCUUUGACCAGCAGGAUGCAGAGGUUGUGUGUAGAGAGCUGGACUGUGGGGCUCCUGUACAGGU
This is a long non-coding RNA of Carassius auratus (goldfish), 458 nucleotides long. RefSeq lists it as uncharacterized. NCBI's taxonomy places the organism in Eukaryota, Metazoa, Chordata, Actinopteri, Cypriniformes, Cyprinidae. The record is from RefSeq and is a predicted model, not a curated record. The transcript has 3 exons.